RNAcentral lists this long non-coding RNA (211 nucleotides) under Panax ginseng (ginseng). RNAcentral's name for it is "long non-coding RNA (PGIN_LNC000199)". The record is from RNAcentral. Lineage: Eukaryota; Viridiplantae; Streptophyta; Magnoliopsida; Apiales; Araliaceae.
GGAUGACUGACAUGGGAGGACCUAGCCGAGUAGUAGAAGAGGAGCCGCGUGACAUACACGUGGUAUAUGAGACACCAUUGAUAGCGGAGCCUACAUCAACUGUAGUCCCUAUCGAUGAUGAUGAUGAUGAGGAAGAGGAGAUGGAGCCAAUACCCGAGGAGUCUGAUCCAGAGGAGGAGCCUAUGGAGGAGCGUAUGGUGGACAAGCCCAU